Molecule: ribosomal RNA, 229 nt
Filed under: uncultured bacterium
Lineage: Bacteria
Description: partial 16S ribosomal RNA
Rfam family: Bacterial small subunit ribosomal RNA
Source: RNAcentral
UGCGUAGGCGGAUUUAUAAGUCAGUGGUGAAAUCUUUCGGCUCAACCGAGAAACUGCCAUUGAUACUGUUAAUCUUGAGUUCGGUUGAGGUAGGCGGAAUGUGUAAUGUAGCGGUGAAAUGCUUAGAUAUUACACAGAACACCAAUUGCGUAGGCAGCUUACUAGACCGACACUGACGCUGAGGCACGAAAGCGUGGGGAGCGAACAGGAUUAGAUACCCUGGUAGUCC